GAUGAACGCUAGCGGCAGGCUUAACACAUGCAAGUCGAGGGGUAUUUCUCUUCGGAUAGAGAGACCGGCGUACGGGUGCGUAACGCGUAUGCAAUCUACCUUUUACAGAGGGAUAGCCCAGAGAAAUUUGGAUUAAUACCUCAUAGUAUAUAGACUCGGCAUCGAGAUUAUAUUAAAGUCACAACGGUCAAAGAUGAGCAUGCGUCCCAUUAGCUAGUUGGUAAGGUAACGGCUUACCAAGGCUACGAUGGGUAGGGGUCCUGAGAGGGAGAUCCCCCACACUGGUACUGAGACACGGACCAGACUCCUACGGGAGGCAGCAGUGAGGAAUAUUGGACAAUGGGCGCAAGCCUGAUCCAGCCAUGCCGCGUGCAGGAUGACGGUCCUAUGGAUUGUAAACUGCUUUUAUACGAGAAGAAACACUGCUACGUGUAGCAGCUUGACGGUAUCGUAAGAAUAAGGAUCGGCUAACUCCGUG
RNAcentral lists this ribosomal RNA (478 nucleotides) under uncultured bacterium. RNAcentral's name for it is "partial 16S ribosomal RNA". It matches the Rfam family "Bacterial small subunit ribosomal RNA", at positions 28 to 507 of the family's 1533-position model. The record is from RNAcentral.